This 424-nucleotide ribosomal RNA is filed under the name uncultured Ascomycota. Its description in RNAcentral is "SSU rRNA". It matches the Rfam family "Eukaryotic small subunit ribosomal RNA", at positions 832 to 1254 of the family's 1831-position model. Lineage: Eukaryota; Fungi; Ascomycota. The record is from RNAcentral.
GGUUCUAUUUUGUUGGUUUCUAGGACCGCCGUAAUGAUUAAUAGGGACAGUCGGGGGCAUCAGUAUUCAACUGUCAGAGGUGAAAUUCUUGGAUCAGUUGAAGACUAACUACUGCGAAAGCAUUUGCCAAGGAUGUUUUCAUUAAUCAGNGAACGAAAGUUAGGGGAUCGAAGACGAUCAGAUACCGUCGUAGUCUUAACCAUAAACUAUGCCGACUAGGGAUCGGACGGUGNUUAUNUCAUGACCCGUUCGGCACCUUACGAGAAAUCAAAGUGCUUGGGCUCCAGGGGGAGUAUGGUCGCAAGGCUGAAACUUAAAGAAAUUGACGGAAGGGCACCACCAGGGGUGGAGCCUGCGGCUUAAUUUGACUCAACACGGGGAAACUCACCAGGUCCAGACACAAUAAGGAUUGACAGAUUGAGAG